CCUACGGGAGGCAGCAGUGAGGAAUAUUGGUCAAUGGGCGCGAGCCUGAACCAGCCAAGUCGCGUGAGGGAAGACGGUCCUAUGGAUUGUAAACCUCUUUUGUCGGGGAGCAAAAGACGCCACGCGUGGCGUUCCGAGAGUACCCUAAGAAAAAGCAUCGGCUAACUCCGUGCCAGCAGCCGCGGUAAUACGGAGGAUGCGAGCGUUCUCCGGAUUUCUUGGGUUUAAAGGGUGCGCAGGCGGAAGAUCAAGUCAGCGGUAAAAUUGAGAGGCUCAACCUCGUCGAGCCGUUGAAACUGGUUUUCUUGAGUGAGUGAGAAGUAUGCGGAAUGCGUGGUGUAGCGGUGAAAUGCAUAGAUAUCACGCAGAACUCCGAUUGCGAAGGCAGCAUACCGGCGCUCAACUGACGCUCAUGCACAAAAGUGUGGGUAUCGAACAGGAUUAGAUACCCCUGUAGUC
RNAcentral lists this ribosomal RNA (459 nucleotides) under uncultured bacterium. RNAcentral describes it as "partial 16S ribosomal RNA". It matches the Rfam family "Bacterial small subunit ribosomal RNA", at positions 338 to 795 of the family's 1533-position model. The record is from RNAcentral.